UUAAUUCAACAUAGUGAUGGUAGGUAGCAGAGAGGACAGGUUAAUCAACAUAGUGAUGGUAGGUAGCAGAGAGGACAGGUUAAUCAACAUAGUGAUGGUAGUAGGAGAGAGGACAGGUUAAUCACACAUAGUGAUGGUAGGUAGGAGAGAAGACAGGUUAAUCAACAUAGUGAUGGUAGGUAGGAGAGAAGACAGGUUAAUUCAACAUAGUGAUGGUAGGUAGAGAAG
Non-coding RNA from Salvelinus sp. IW2-2015, 228 nucleotides. Lineage: Eukaryota; Metazoa; Chordata; Actinopteri; Salmoniformes; Salmonidae. The record is from RefSeq and is a predicted model, not a curated record.